RNAcentral lists this long non-coding RNA (512 nucleotides) under Nicotiana benthamiana. RNAcentral's name for it is "long non-coding RNA (NBEN_LNC003892)". Lineage: Eukaryota; Viridiplantae; Streptophyta; Magnoliopsida; Solanales; Solanaceae. The record is from RNAcentral.
CCCAAAAGUGUGCUCCCCAUGUUUCAGAUAUUAGAUUUGAAAUUCAAACACCAAACUUCAAAAAAAACCAAAGAAAAAUAAAAAAAUCUAUCUCAUAGAUUACCAGAUAAUUUCAUCAUCAUUCUAGGUGAAAAUGGAUUGAUCGUGUGUUAGAAAUUCUUUGGGUCCAGCUUGCUUGAAGUUUUCGGGUCCACUUGAGGGCAAAAAUGAGCUGAUCUGGGUCUUAAAAAUAAUUCAAAGUUUGAUCCUGGGAUUUGCUGUGUGUCAAUUUGUGUUGAGUCUGAGUUUUUGCUAAUUUUUGUUCAAAUCUACUGAUGCGCUAUCAAGCUGCUAGCAAACUGACCCUGCCUGGUUUUUGUUUCUAUCUCGUUUCAGGUACAUUUAACUCUACCCACUGUAAAACCUUUGUGAUAUGGAAGUGAGGAAGAUUUGAAGCAUGUUGGCCAUUUAUUCUUAUUAUAGGAGUUUAAUUCUUUCUUUAUUUCGAUGUUUUAGUCUGAAUAUGUUAAUGG